GACGAACGCUGGCGGCGUGCUUAACACAUGCAAGUCGAACGGAAAGGCCCUGCUUUUGUGGUGUGCUCGAGUGGCGAACGUGUGUGUAACACGUGAGUAACCUGCCCUUGACUUUGGUAUAACUUCAGGAAUCUGUGUCUAAUACCGGAUAGGAGCUCCUGCUGCAUGGUGGGGGUUGGAUAUUUUCGGCGGUUGGGGAUGGACUCGCGGCUUAUCAGCUUGUUGGUGGGUUAGUGGCUUACCAAGGCUGUGACGGGUAGCCGGCCUGAGAGGGUGACCGGACACAUUGGGACUGAGAUACGGCACAGACUCAUACGGGAGGGAGGAGUGGGGAAUAUUGCACAAGGGGCGGAAGCCUGAUGCAGAAACGCCGCGUGCGGGAAGACGGCCUUCGGGGUGUAAACCGCUUUCGCCUGUGACGAAGCGUGAGGGAGGGUAAUGGGUAAAGAAGCACCGGCUAACUACGU
This 467-nucleotide ribosomal RNA is filed under the name uncultured bacterium. Its description in RNAcentral is "partial 16S ribosomal RNA". It matches the Rfam family "Bacterial small subunit ribosomal RNA", at positions 28 to 506 of the family's 1533-position model. The record is from RNAcentral.